RNAcentral lists this ribosomal RNA (875 nucleotides) under Aspergillus calidoustus. RNAcentral describes it as "LSU rRNA". It matches the Rfam family "Eukaryotic large subunit ribosomal RNA", at positions 74 to 965 of the family's 3401-position model. The record is from RNAcentral. Lineage: Eukaryota; Fungi; Ascomycota; Eurotiomycetes; Eurotiales; Aspergillaceae.
AUUGCCUCAGUAACGGCGAGUGAAGCGGCAAGAGCUCAAAUUUGAAAUCUGGCCCCUCCGGGGUCCGAGUUGUAAUUUGCAGAGGAUGCUUCGGGUGCGGCCCCUGUCUAAGUGCCCUGGAACGGGCCGUCAGAGAGGGUGAGAAUCCCGUCUUGGGCAGGGUGCCCGUGCCCGUGUGAAGCUCCUUCGACGAGUCGAGUUGUUUGGGAAUGCAGCUCUAAAUGGGUGGUAAAUUUCAUCUAAAGCUAAAUACCGGCCGGAGACCGAUAGCGCACAAGUAGAGUGAUCGAAAGAUGAAAAGCACUUUGAAAAGAGAGUUAAACAGCACGUGAAAUUGUUGAAAGGGAAGCGCUUGCGACCAGACUCGGCCCCGGGGUUCAGCCAGCACUCGUGCUGGUGUACUUCCCCGGGGGCGGGCCAGCGUCGGUUUGGGCGGCCGGUCAAAGGCCCCAGGAAUGUGUCGCCCUCCGGGGCGUCUUAUAGCCUGGGGUGCAAUGCGGCCAGCCCGGACCGAGGAACGCGCUUCGGCACGGACGCUGGCGUAAUGGUCGCAAACGACCCGUCUUGAAACACGGACCAAGGAGUCUAACAUCUACGCGAGUGUUCGGGUGUCAAACCCGUACGCGCAGUGAAAGCGAACGGAGGUGGGAGCCCCGCAAGGGGCGCACCAUCGACCGAUCCUGAUGUCUUCGGAUGGAUUUGAGUAAGAGCGUAGCUGUGGGGACCCGAAAGAUGGUGAACUAUGCCUGAAUAGGGCGAAGCCAGAGGAAACUCUGGUGGAGGCUCGCAGCGGUUCUGACGUGCAAAUCGAUCGUCAAAUUUGGGUAUAGGGGCGAAAGACUAAUCGAACCAUCUGGUAGCUGGUUCCUGCCGAA